RNAcentral lists this ribosomal RNA (253 nucleotides) under uncultured bacterium. RNAcentral's name for it is "partial 16S ribosomal RNA". It matches the Rfam family "Bacterial small subunit ribosomal RNA", at positions 524 to 776 of the family's 1533-position model. The record is from RNAcentral.
UACGUAGGGGGCUAGCGUUGUCCGGAAUCAUUGGGCGUAAAGAGCGUGUAGGCGGCCCGGUAAGUCCGCUGUGAAAGUCGGGGGCUCAACCCUCGAAUGCCGGUGGAUACUGUCGGGCUAGAGUGCGGAAGAGGCGAGUGGAAUUCCUGGUGUAGCGGUGAAAUGCGCAGAUAUCGGGAGGAACACCGGUGGCGAAGGCGGUUCUCUGGGCCUGACCUGACGCUGAGGAGCGAAAGCGUGGGGAGCGAACAGG